GCAGCUAUGGUGUUAGUGGUUAGCACAUCUGCCUUCCAAGCAGAGAGGGCGGGUUCGAGUCCCGUUGGUUGCUCCA
RNAcentral lists this transfer RNA (76 nucleotides) under Caudoviricetes sp. RNAcentral's name for it is "tRNA-Gly". It matches the Rfam family "tRNA". From Rfam's summary of the family: Transfer RNA (tRNA) molecules are approximately 80 nucleotides in length. Their secondary structure includes four short double-helical elements and three loops (D, anti-codon, and T loops). The record is from RNAcentral. Lineage: Duplodnaviria; Heunggongvirae; Uroviricota; Caudoviricetes.